CCUUAUUAUUUGUCGAAUUUAAAUUGGAUUCAUCAAUAACAGCCAAAUUAGGUUGAAUUCUAUAUAGCUUUCGUUUUAAUCUCAGAAAAAAUGUUCAGUGAGUUUUGUGAUGAUGAAAUGUUUGGAGAGAAUCUUUCUUGGUCAGCUAGGUCUUCCUGCUCCAACAACAUGGCUGACGCAGCCAAGUUGUAACUGAGACUGUCUGGUGGAUUUUGGUUACGUUGUUUGCUGGCGGUAUCGUUAUACGAGGCAUAGCUAAUGUCCACGGGAUUGUAAUCGUGAAUAUCCUGCGGGUAUGUGUUAUGUUCCUUUCUGAGAAUAUACUCUUUGGCAAAGGAUAACUGAAAUCAAUGGAUCGCUUUAACAUGUGUGUUGAGUUUACCAUACAACUCAACGGCUUCUUAGCAGCAGGGACGAGGAGAAGGCUGAUAUACGCAAACAUCCAUCCACAUAAGCCAAUGAAGAGUACCGUUUUCUUUGCAUUGAACCUGUCGGCGACAAAUGCCCAAAAUACUGCAGUAAUAGAUUGUGUGAUUGGUCCCAAGCCAAUUAACAGUCCGGCUUGUGUAGGUGACAGCCACAAAUGUUUGAAAUAAAGUGGAAUGAAAGGAAGAAGGGAUGCGAUUGCACCAUAGAAGAAGUAAUAGAAAGCUUUAAAUGGCAACAAAGUACAUUUAUUUGUAAGCAACGUGAUGGCUUCUCUUCGCUGUCUUUCCUGUUCACAGAUUCAUACAAAGGUGGUAGUUCCUGAUCAGAGGAUUUUAUGUGUGAUCAACUUUUGCUUCAAUGAUGAGAGACUAUC
Non-coding RNA from Paramuricea clavata, 802 nucleotides. The record is from the annotation of a GenBank genome assembly. Lineage: Eukaryota; Metazoa; Cnidaria; Anthozoa; Malacalcyonacea; Plexauridae.